Molecule: long non-coding RNA, 1105 nt
Filed under: Sinocyclocheilus grahami
Lineage: Eukaryota; Metazoa; Chordata; Actinopteri; Cypriniformes; Cyprinidae
Description: lncRNA (ENSSGRG00000025670.1)
Source: RNAcentral
GACCACACAGAGUAGCAUUAUAACAGAACUUUCAAACAUAUCUAGUAUGAUAAAACAGCGCUGCUUUACCCCACAUACGCACGACCGGAAGCAGCGGAAGCGCUCGACUGUGGCAUAAUAAAAGCUCCGCUGCUUUACCCCAGAUACACACGACCGGAAGCAGGACUGGAUGGCAUAAUAAAAGCUCUGCUGCUUUACCCCAGAUACGCACGACCGGAAGCAGCGGAAGCGCUCGACUGUGGCAUAAUAAAAGCUCUGCUGCUUUACCCCACAUACGCACGACCGGAAGCAGCGGAAGCGCUCGACUGUGGCAUAAUAAAAGCUCUGCUGCUUUACCCCACAUACGCACGACCGGAAGCAGCGGAAGCGCUCGACUGUGGCAUAAUAAAAGCUCUGCUGCUUUACCCCACAUACGCACGACCGGAAGCAGCGGAAGCGCUCGACUGUGGCAUAAUAAAAGCUCUGCUGCUUUACCCCACAUACGCACGACCGGAAGCAGCGGAAGCGCUCGACUGUGGCAUAAUAAAAGCUCUGCUGCUUUACCCCACAUACGCACGACCGGAAGCAGCGGAAGCGCUCGACUGUGGCAUAAUAAAAGCUCUGCUGCUUUACCCCACAUACGCACGACCGGAAGCAGCGGAAGCGCUCGACUGUGGCAUAAUAAAAGCUCUGCUGCUUUACCCCACAUACGCACGACCGGAAGCAGCGGAAGCGCUCGACUGUGGCAUAAUAAAAGCUCUGCUGCUUUACCCCACAUACGCACGACCGGAAGCAGCGGAAGCGCUCGACUGUGGCAUAAUAAAAGCUCUGCUGCUUUACCCCACAUACGCACGACCGGAAGCAGCGGAAGCGCUCGACUGUGGCAUAAUAAAAGCUCUGCUGCUUUACCCCACAUACGCACGACCGGAAGCAGCGGAAGCGCUCGACUGUGGCAUAAUAAAAGCUCUGCUGCUUUACCCCACAUACGCACGACCGGAAGCAGCGGAAGCGCUCGACUGUGGCAUAAUAAAAGCUCUGCUGCUUUACCCCACAUACGCACGACCGGAAGCAGCGGAAGCGCUCGACUGUGGCAUAAUAAAAGCUCCGCUGCUUUCCAGCCGUGUGU